GGCUCAGGACGAACGCUGGCGGCGUGCUUCAUACAUGCAAGUCGAACGAUAAAGGUUCCUUCGGGAAUACAUAAGUGGCGGACGGGUGAGUAAUAUGUAGAGAAUCUGCCCUGAAGAGGGGGACAACAGAGGGAAACUUCUGCUAAUACCCCAUAUGCGCGUAGUUGGGAUACUAUUCGUGAAAGAUUUAUCGUUUCAGGAUGAGUCUGCAUCUGAUUAGCUAGUUGGGGGUGUAAUGGACCACCAAGGCGACGAUCAGUAGCUGGUUUGAGAGGAUGAUCAGCCACAAUGGGACUGAGACACGGCCCAUACUCCUACGGGAGGCAGCAGUAGGGAAUUUUGCGCAAUGGGCGAAAGCCUGACGCAGCAACGCCCGCGUGAUCGCAGACGGCCUUCGGGUUGUAAAGAUCUGUCAGCAGGGACGAACAAUGACUGUACCUGCAGAGGAAGCACCGGCUAACUCCGUGCCAGCCGCCGC
RNAcentral lists this ribosomal RNA (478 nucleotides) under uncultured bacterium. RNAcentral describes it as "bacterial SSU rRNA". It matches the Rfam family "Bacterial small subunit ribosomal RNA", at positions 21 to 518 of the family's 1533-position model. The record is from RNAcentral.